RNAcentral lists this ribosomal RNA (495 nucleotides) under uncultured bacterium. RNAcentral's name for it is "partial 16S ribosomal RNA". It matches the Rfam family "Bacterial small subunit ribosomal RNA", at positions 28 to 507 of the family's 1533-position model. The record is from RNAcentral.
GACGAACGCUGGCGGCGUGCCUAAUACAUGCAAGUAGAACGCUGAAGGAGGAGCUUGCUUCUCUGGAUGAGUUGCGAACGGGUGAGUAGCGCGUAGGUAACCUGCCUGGUAGCGGGGGAUAACUAUUGGAAACGAUAGCUAAUACCGCAUAAGAGUAGAUGUCGCAUGACAUUUGCUUAAAAGGUGCAAUUGCAUCACUACCAGAUGGACCUGCGUUGUAUUAGCUAGUUGGUGAGGUAACGGCUCACCAAGGCAACGAUACAUAGCCGACCUGAGAGGGUGAUCGGCCACACUGGGACUGAGACACGGCCCAGACUCCUACGGGAGGCAGCAGUAGGGAAUCUUCGGCAAUGGACGGAAGUCUGACCGAGCAACGCCGUGUGAGUGAAGAAGGUUUUCGGAUCGUAAAGCUCUGUUGUAAGAGAAGAACGAGUGUGAGAGUGGAAAGUUCACACUGUGACGGUAGCUUACCAGAAAGGGACGGCUAACUACGUG